This 8823-nucleotide long non-coding RNA is filed under the name Nicotiana tabacum (common tobacco). RNAcentral describes it as "long non-coding RNA (NTAB_LNC009130)". The record is from RNAcentral. Lineage: Eukaryota; Viridiplantae; Streptophyta; Magnoliopsida; Solanales; Solanaceae.
CAAGACUUUGAGAAGAGGAUACUCCGCUACGCGCGAUCGGCACUAUCCGCUAUGAAGCCACUUACAUUCAUUUAACAAUGUAGCGCCCCUUGCAAAAGGGACGUGUCACGACCCAAACCGAUGGGCCGCGACGGGCACCCGGUACCUUACUCAACUGAGUAGCAAUGUAACGUAUCUUUCUUAUUACAUCAUCAUAUAAACGUGACAUACGGGCCUAAUAGGCCAAAAUAAUCAUUUAUAAACUCAAAACAUAGGCCGGCAAGGCCGUACAAUCUUUCACGUACACGACAUAUGUCUACCAGCCUCUAAGAAUACAUAAAUGUCAUAUAGGUCGGGACAGAGUCCCGCCAUACCAAACAAUACACAUCUAAAUCAUACUAACCAAAUACGCAACUCCGAAGCAAAUGGAGCGCACCACCAUUUUUCGCAGAGCUGAUAGCCUACUUGGAGGGCUCUCGGCCGGUCUACCAGGGCCUGCGGCCAUGAAACACAGCGUCCCCAGGAAAAAGGAACGUCAGUACAAAAUUAUGUACUGAGUAUGUAAGGCAAUAUACUAAAAGCUGAAACUGAACUGAUAACAUAAUAACUGCAAGUAGUUGGAAGUCAAAGAUAAUCUGAAUAUAUGCUUACCUGCUGAUACUCACUCAAUUCUCUCAAUAUAGUAAGUAAAAUAGCUGUCCGGCCCUAUAAGGCUCGGUAUACAUAUAUAUAUCUGCUCUGCCGUAGUAGGCUUGCUCAUAAGCGCUCGUCCAUACUAGGCUCUGUAUCUCGACCAACUGGGCUCGCUCAUAUGCGCUCGGCCACAGUAGGAUCGGUAUAUAACUUAAAAUCUUAUCAAAGGUUGCCCAAUAGGGGCCUGCCCAUCAAUUAUAGCUCGAUGGUAAUAAAAAUACUUUUAAUACUGUAUAUAUGUAACUUCACUGCUCUCUUGACUGGAAGAAGGAAAUACUCAACUGAAUAUGAAGUCCUGAUAAGAAGAAUGUGGUAAUUUACAAAACUAGAAAAAUAUUAACCUCCUGCAUGUAUUUAAAGUAGUUGUCUAUGAUAACACUUGCAGUACUAAUCAUAUAUGAGCCUUUUUUCAACCUAAAUUUCUUAAUCAUAUGACGAAGGCAGUAGUAUUUCCCAGGAGGUUGCACCUAAUUUUGUGCAUAAGACUAACUUAUAUUGGGUUCUUUAUUUGUUUCACUUCUUUCUAGGAAUAUCAUGGAUACCUUUAAUUGAAAAGGUUUUGUUGUACAUUCAAACAUGAAAUGCAAAUUAACAAUUGGUUUUAUGAACACGCUUCCCGUUAGUAGAGGGAAAAGUAUAUAUACAAGACUACUUGUUUAAAUAGACAAAUACACGUAAAUUCAGGGAUAUCAAUUUUUCUCUAUACCUCUACUUUACCCAUUAUUAAUGUUGACUCCUACAGUACAUUAUUAUGUCCUAUUGUUUCAUGGGAUUAAUUACUCGCCAACUAUUUACAUGUAAGACCUACAAGUAAGAUUUUAACUAGCUUAGAGUGCUGAUUGAUUAAAUAAUAUAUAAUAAUAACCUAUCUAAUUAUGUUAGUGUCAUAUGGAAAAGCUUUCAUUUAUCCUAAGUUGCUGCUAGUACCAAACCUUUCAUUAACCUUAAAAAUUGAACAUUUCCUUAUAUGUCUUGUACAACAUAACGGUAGUAGGAUGUAUUGUUAUCAAACUCAAGUAAUUACGGGGUCAUGCCAAAUGAAAGAAGAGCUUAGCCUUAACAUACCUGUUCUUGGAAUUUAUUUGAACAAUAUUGUUGUUUUUCUUUGAAUUUCCAAUCGAAUCUUGGCUAAAUAAUUUGGACGAAACAACUCUGUUCCAGGUUAUUGGAUUUUAAAAUCCACGGCAGAAUUUUUUUGAUUAACCUAGGGAACUUUGGAUGAACUAGAAAUGCCUCUUGGCUUAAAUGCCAAAGUAUUGCUUCUACUAUUCACGUUAGAUGUUAGAAUGAUGGCCUUUGAUCCUUUAAGUGAAAUGCUUUCUUUUGUCUCAUUUUGAUUUGAUAAAGGUAACCAUAAAGUCUUGAUAAGACUUUCAAAUUGUGCUUUUGACACCUAUUAAAGGUGAUUGAUGAAUCACUUUGAUAAAGAGAGGGGGCUGCCACGUACCUCCUUGAGAGGUGAUUUUUUUGUUAAGUUUAUCCACUUAUUAGUUAAUCGGGUAAUGUUUCGUUACCCGGUAAUUAAUCUAUUACCCGCAUAAUUCAAGAAUUAUCACAAAUUACUUAAAAUUUUAUUUAUUUUUAAAAUACUUCAUAUAUACUUUAUAUAUUACACUACCGUGGUCAUAUGAUAUCUCGCAUGAAAAAGUUCUAAGAUAAAGAAGUCUUUGAAAAAUGGUGAGUUCCACCGUUCUUAGCAAGCCAAAAUCCAAAGGUUUGAGUUUCAAAAAUGAUUUCUAUAGUUUCAAAAUGCAUUCUUUAAGUGUCUUGGUUGGUAGGCCCCAUUUAUAAUUAAUGCUUAGCAAGACUUCUUGCUCCCAAAGUAUGACACCAACGUAGCACACAUAUUAGUCAUAGUUUAGUUUAGUUGUCAUGGUCCCAUGUGGACAAGACAAUUCCUACACUUACCCACUUAAAUGAAUAAUUAACCAAUUAUCUCAAAUUAGUUAAAAUACUACUCAUUUUUAAUACACUUUAUAUACUUUACUAUCAUGGUCAUGUGGUACCUUACAUGGUAGUAUUUAAUAAUUAUCGUGUAUUAUUGCUCGACCCGUAUUUUAUUCCAAAUUGACCACUUUCAAUGAAACUUGUUUUCUUUAAUCUGUGUACCCCCUUAUUCUUCAUAACACUUAUUUAUUGCUUGCUAUAAAUAGCGCAAGUACGUUAACGUCAAGAUGAUCUCAUCCCCGAGUCUUACAUCGGUUAACUGAAAAUAAAAUUUUAACGUACAAUACUUUAGGGUGCAACAUCAUCGUAACUUAACACUGCAAAACGUGAUAUCACCGUAAUGCAUUACUGCGGGACGUGACACCUCACUUCGGGCUCUCAUUAACUUAUUUAUGGCAUAUUUUCAUGUACGAAAAUAUGAGGUGUAACAUCAUUCCCCCCUUUGGAACAUUCGUCUUCGAAUGUUGACUGAUGUGCUUAUUGUUCUCAUAUCCCAUAGCUCUUGCGAAUACUUUAGUAGUCCUUUUGCCAUCUAGGCAACUGUUCUGUGAAUAAGUCCAAAGGUCAGGGUAUUCCCCCCUUUAGGCCUCUUUCCCAUGCCAUGACUUGUGAUCAAAUACUUUCCCAUCUCAUAACUGUUGCUACCUCCCAUCAUGCAGCUCCUACGAUACUGACCAUGUAUGUGUCCUUAUGCAACUCUCCUUUCCUUUUUCCUCUAGUUUUUAGCCAAUCCUGAAUUUCUUUGCUUGGUAUUUUGUCGAACUUACGAAUACUGCUAUAUCUUAUUUUAUAGACAUAGUUAUCCAUUCGUAUGACUUUAGUGGAUCUACAUAGGUCAUACUAUACCAUAACACUUACCUCGAUUUCUCGUUACUGAGGUCUGCUACACAAUCUCAGGUUACUUUCAUUGCUUAUCUCGUAUGUAUAAAUCUAUGUCCUUUAAUGCCUCCACAUUACUGUUCAUCUUUAAGAAUGACGGCCUAAUCUCUUCUCAUACUUUAUAACUUUUACCCAUACAUUAUUGAUUCACCUCAAUUUUGAUCCAUAGUCCACCCUUGAUAACUUAACAUUUUAUGUAAUAUUACUGCUAGGAUUCAUGUUUUAUCGAGGAACAUCUAAAAUGAUUAGAUUGAUCCACCUGGGGCGAUACCCUGCUUUCAUAACCGUAUCUCAUGGCAUCCCAAUGUGAUUUACUUAUGUGGGUAUUUUAAUCUCGUACAAUCCAUGAAAGCCUCUUCAAUCAUUACUCACUCGAAAGCCUAAACGUCAUCCUUUAUCCAUCACAAUUAUACCUUUAUUGUACUAUCAGGGCAGCAUUCCAUCUUUUCUAAAUGCUACUAGUCUUAGAUUUCUUUGAAUUCAUUCAGGCUAUACUGAGCUUUCUAUAACUUAGAGAAACCAUCAGCUCUUCUUGUUUUCAUGGGCUUAAUCCCUGGGACUUAUCCAUUCUCAUCACCUUCUCACUCGCCUUCUCUUAUCCUUAUUCCAGUCUUCCUAAAACCUUGUCGCUAUCAUUCCUGGAUAUUGAAUCACGCGCUUAUAGUCUCUUUUCUGCAGUACAGACUAUUCAUAACUUUCUGUAUUUGAGUAUCUUGUAUGUUGUUCACCUUUUCCUUACUUACUUAAAAUCUCACAUUGUAUCUUCUAUCUCUUUCAUGACCUCCCUUCCACAUAGGUACAAUUCACGUCUACACUUGAAGCUUUAUUAUAAUUUUUUUUACACCUUUGGUGCAUACACAAUCCGGUGGGAGCUUCGUACUGACUUCUUAUGAGGAUGGUACUUCUUCUAACAGGCUUCCUUAUAGAGCCAUUAUAGAUUAUAGUCGUUGUGUUGUUUCUAUUGAACGUCUGCUAUUAAGAGCUAUUCUGUCAUCUUCUCCAGCACAACUUCUAUAAUUUUUCUAGGUCCAAUAAUCAGAUUCCUGAUUUACUUCGGUGAUUUAAUUCUUUAGUUUCCUCUUCCUUCUGAUUAGCCUUUACAUAGGCUUAAGCUAUCUUCCGAUCUAUGGCUCAUGGUAUCAGUUAUUACCUUAACCUUUCAUGGGCGUUAUGGAAUACCCAUAAUACCAUCAUCCAACAAUUCAAUCCUUUUUCUAUAACCUGAACUUAAUUCCUUAUUUACAACUUAUACCAGAGUCUCUUACGGCUAUACGAUUGCCAUAUAUGUGCUCCAUGGAUAAUUUUCUAAAAUCUUGAGUGCAUAAUAACGUGACUAACUUGGGAUCAUUGAUCAAAUAAUUCCUUUCGUUCUUUCUCAUAUUUCUUUUAACGUAAGCUUUUACCUUUCCUUAUCUUUUUUCCUUCUUGUUGCGUGUAUACUUUGCUUAGCUUAGUCUCCCACGCUUGCCGGAAUUUCCGUACAACUCAUAUGAUCUUCGAAUAUUUCUUUUGAUUUUUACUUCCCGUUCACUACCCACGGUAGAUUCAUCUUUCUUAUGGAGGACGUACAAUGUUGUUGUGAAAUUAUUGUUACAAGACCAUUUUCUCUUUAGGUCACUGUGCUUAGGUUGAAGCCUUUUUCCUCAUUUCCUCAGCUAGUCCUUCAUUGUAGUACUUAGGGAAGACCCUCUAACUCUUGUAAAGAUGCGAACUUAUUAUACCGUAUUCCCAAUAGAAUUUUUGAUGUUCGUGCUUGCACAAUAUUCUUGAAUUGUAUUGCAUCUGUAAGAUUUGGAUAAGUGUCAUCUCAUUCCUCUUUCAUUUAUCGCAUUCUUCCUUUAUCAUUCCAUAUUCACUAGAACCACUUAAUUCUGACUUAAUGCCACAUCACUCCAUAUUCCCCCCUUUAGGGGAGUGCUAAGAGUUGGAGCUACGACGACCUGCCUAUAGAUGUUUCACCUUUUCAUCUUUGGCAUCCUUUCACAUCAUCGAUGACCCUUAAUCGCCUUGCAGUAAUCCUUCUAUACCAAUGAAAAUAAAAUUCCUUACUCACGACGAUGACACUUAGUGUAACUGGCUCAUACAUUCCCUUAAGAUUAACUUCGCUUCCAUUGCUUGCUUUAGUGAAGCAUCUUGCUGAAUGAUCAUUCUCAGAAUUUCUCAUGAAUCUUCUUCGGUUGUCCAUUCUAUUACCACCGGAACGAAAUCUAAAAUUACCAUUAUGCUGAGUACUUUCCAAUCAUUCAGUCCUUAAUUCAUAUUUAAUUUAUCGGGUUUACCAGCCCAUACUAAUUUCUAUCACUUUGGGGUCUAACUUUUCUUUUUGGUGAUUACGUCAGAGUUGCCAACUUAUUUUUCGAAGUGGGGAUAUGACUUUAUGGCCUCUAUUCUUUCAUUGUCUCAAGGCCUGUCAUCUUGUCUUUCCCCUCACUUGACUGUAAAUACUUUAAUACUGUCAUCAUUUUUGUUGACCUACCGUUAACAUCCUUGUAUCAUAUUUUACUCAUAAUGCUUCAUUAACUCUAUUCUCAUCUCCCGCUAAUUAUCUAUGUCUACUGCUUUAUUCUAAAAACUCGAACAAAACUUUCUUUUUUCCUUUAGAUCCCUUUGCUCCAUCCCUUUGCUCUUUCAAUUGCCUAGCAUUCUUUCUUUACUGGGGCGGGAGCCACAUUAAGAUAAUAUUAUUCCUUCAAGGCUUAUAGUACAUGUCUUUGUAGUACUCAUAUCUGGCUGCACUAAUUCAGAGUGCACUAUCUAGGUAUCUCCUAAAGAGAUCUAUUAGCACAUUUGAAAUAUUCUUCGGAGAUAUCAACUGACGCAAUCAAUUCAUCCAUCAUAUCUUCUUAUACUACUUUUGUUAACCCCCAUAGGGCAUAUCUGGAAGAGGUACAACCAAUUGUAUAUACCUCUGUUACUAUUGAAUAUAAUUCAAAAGGCUUAGGUUCCUCUGCCUCAAUUAUAACCACUGUUAACCUUUGUAAAUUGGGCGCCUUGUACCCUUAUUCAUCUUGCUUCUUUUACUUGCUGAAACUUGUACUUAUCUUCUUAAUUUCUCAGUGUCCUUUACCAUAAAGAUGGGAUAGACAUUCUUGCCUUGAGGCUUCUUAUUAAGAGGCUUACACCUUUCAGCACACACAUGAUCUGCUGAAGAUCUCAUAUUUACUUAUCAUAAGCAUUAUACAAAGUUGAGCUCCACUAAUCCAACAUUUCCACAGCUAUAGCUCUUAUCGAUCAUCUUUCUAAACGUAGGCAUUGUCUUAUUAUGAAUAAAAAUAGAAGCUCGGGACUUGAAUUCUUAUAAGUGAGCUCUACCACACGAUUUAGAGUAAGAAGAAAGAGUGACAGUCUUAAAUGCCCUGUAGCCUCCUGCUUAUAAGUGUGGUGCACGACACACCCAUAAACAAGACUCUACGACCCAAACCGAUGGGCCGCGACGGGCACCCGGUACCUUACUCAACCGAGUACCAAUGUAACGUAUCUUUAUUAUUACAUCAUCUUAUACACGUGACAUACGGGCCUAAUAGGCCAACAUAAUCAUUUAUAAUCUCAAAACAUAGGCCGGCAAGGCCGUACAAUCUUUCACGUACACGACAUAUGUCUACCAGCCUCUAAGAAUACAUAAAUGUCAUAUAGGUCGGGACAGAGUCCCGCCAUACCAAACAAUACACAUCUAAAUCAUACUAACCAAAUACGCAACUCCAAAGCAAAUGGGGCGCACCACCAUCUUUCGCUGAGCUAAUAGCCUACUUGGAGGGCUCUCGGCCGGUCUACCAGGGCCUGCAGGCAUGAAACGCAGCGUCCCCAGGCAAAAGGAACGUCAGUAUGAAAUAAUGUACUGAGUAUGUAAGGCAAUAUACUAAAAGCUGAAACUAAACUGAUAACAUAAUAACUGCAAGUAGUUGGAAGUCAAAGAUAAUCUGAAGAUAUGCUUACCUGCUGAUACUGACUCAAUUUUCUCAAUAUAGUAAGUAAAAUAGUUGUCCGACCCUAUAAGGCUCGGUAUACAUAUAUAUAUCUGCUCUGCCGUAGUAGGCUCGCUCAUAAGCGCUCGGCCAUACUAGGCUCUGUAUCUCGACCAACUGGGCUCGCUCAUAUGUGCUCGGCCACAGUAGGAUCGGUAUAUAACUUACAAUCUGAUCAGAGGUUGCCCAAUAGGGGCCUGCCCAUCGAUUAUAGCUCGAUGGUAAUAAAAAUACUUUUAAUACUGUAUAUAUGUAACUUCUCUGCUCUCUUGACUGGAAGAAGGAAAUACUGAACUGAAUAUGAAGUCCUGAUAAGAAGAAUGUGGUAAUUUACAAAACUAGGAAAAUAUUAACCUCCUGCAUGUAUUUAAAGUAGUUGCCUAUGAUAACACUUGCAGUACUAAUCAUAUAUGAGCCUUUUGUCAACUUAAAUUUCUUAAUCAUAUGACGAAGGCAGUAGUAUUUCCCAGGAGGUUGCACCUAAUUUUGUGCAUAAGACUAACUUAUAUUGGGUUCUUUAUUUGUUUCACUUCUUUCUAGGAAUAUCAUGGAUACCUUUAAUUGAAAAGAUUUUGUUGUACAUUCAAACAUGAAAUGCAAAUUAACAAUUGGUUUUAUGAACACGCUUCCCGUUAGUAGAGGGAAAAGUAUAUAUACAUGACUACUUGUUUAAAUAGACAAAUACACGUAAAUUCAGGGAUAUGAAUUUUUCUCUAUACCUCUACUUUACCCAUUAUUAAUGUUGACUCCUACAGUACAUUAUUAUGUCCUAUUGUUUCAUGGGAUUAAUUGCUCGCCAACUAUUUACACGUAAGAACUACAAGUAAGAUUUUAACUAGCUUAGAGAUCUGAUUGAUUAAAUAAUAUAUAAUAAUAACCUAUCUAAUUAUGCUAGUGUCAUAUGAAAAAGCUUUCAUUUAUCCUAAGUUGCUGCUAGUACCGAACCUUUCAUUAACCUUAAAAAUUGAACAUUUCCUUAUAUAUAUUGUACAACGUAAAACGGGUAGUAGGAUGUAUUGUUAUCAAACUCAAGUAAUUACGGGGUAAUGCCAAAUGAAAGAAGAACUUAGCCUUAACAUACCUGUUUCUGGAAUUUAUUUGAACAAUAUUGUUGUUGUUCUUUGAAUUUCCAAUCGAAUCUUGGCUAAAUAAUUUGGACGAAACAACUCUGUUCCAAGUUCUUGGAUUUUAAAAUCCACGACAGAAUUUUUUUGAUUAACCUAGGGAACUUUGGAUGAACUAGAAAUGCCUUUUGGCUUAAAUGCCAAAGUAUUGCUUCUGCUAUUCACGUUAGUUGGUAGAAUGAUGGCCUUUGAUCCUUUAAGUGAAAUGCUUUCUUUUGUCUCAUUUUGAUUUAAUAAAG